AUGCUUACUUCAGCAGCACAUAUAGUAAGACUGGAAAGAUACAGAGAAGAUUAGUAUGGCCCCUACACAAGGAUGACACACAAAUUCAUGAAGAAUUUAAUAUUUAA
This is a small nuclear RNA of Mustela putorius furo (domestic ferret), 107 nucleotides long. NCBI's taxonomy places the organism in Eukaryota, Metazoa, Chordata, Mammalia, Carnivora, Mustelidae. The record is from Ensembl.